This is a non-coding RNA of Neolamprologus brichardi, 850 nucleotides long. The record is from RefSeq and is a predicted model, not a curated record. NCBI's taxonomy places the organism in Eukaryota, Metazoa, Chordata, Actinopteri, Cichliformes, Cichlidae.
UUUCACUGUGUAGGUGGAGCCUGAAGUUUCCUAUGCCACCAUCAGCUACACCAACAAUAGCAACAGUAAAACCCGGGUUCAUCGUGAUGGUGAAGGCGAUGCUGUGACCUACAGCAUGGUGAAGGCUCCAUCCUCUGCAUCCACUGCUGAUCCCAGCAACCUCUAUUCUACUGUCAAUGUUGGAUUCACAUAGCUCACGCAGUUGAAAAAAGGACUCAUAUUUAAUGAAGCAGUCGAAAAAAGGACUCGUAUUUAAUGAAAAGGACAUUUUGGUUUUGACUUGAGACAGUGUGAUAGCAACAUGCUAAUUACGUUAUUGCUGUUGUUAGCUAGAUUGCUUCACAAGGUUGUCUUAAUGUUGUUUUCAUGGAUUUUGAGCUUAAUGUUUCCAAGAGAUUUAAUAAAAUGCCAGUUAUUGGAACAGUGCCGAGCUGAAACCCCCACAGGCAACCCGUGCCUCCCCCCCAACCAAAGAAACAUCAACACCUAAAUUAAAAAAUUAUAGUUUUUUACAAUAUGUUUAUGAAAAUACAGUUGGUUUCGUUGCUACUUUUACAUGACUAUGAACUGCUCAGAAUCUCUAAAAGACAGCUGGGUGAACAGAAAACACAAUUAUUACACCAGAUAUUCAUGUUUAUGUUUCCUUUUUUAGGUUAGCACAAAACUGUGUAAAUAAAUGUGUCUUUCUCUCUUUGUCUCUCAAGACAUUGUAAACAUUUCAUUGUAUAAAGCUGAACCAGUAUUUUUCCAUAACUUAAAGCAAGUAUCAAUAUCUACAUGUAUCCAAAAAAGCAUUCAGUUCUCUGUAACUAAAAUAGCAAUAAAAUAAAGAUCUGUCUCUGUUCUGUAA